Molecule: ribosomal RNA, 253 nt
Filed under: uncultured bacterium
Lineage: Bacteria
Description: partial 16S ribosomal RNA
Rfam family: Bacterial small subunit ribosomal RNA
Source: RNAcentral
UACGAAGGGUGCAAGCGUUACUCGGAAUUACUGGGCGUAAAGCGUGCGUAGGUGGUUUUUUAAGUCCGUUGUGAAAGCCCUGGGCUCAACCUGGGAAUGGCAGUGGAUACUGGAAAGCUAGAGUGCGGUAGAGGGUAGUGGAAUUCCCGGUGUAGCAGUGAAAUGCGUAGAGAUCGGGAGGAACACCAGUGGCGAAGGCGGCUUCCUGGACCAGCACUGACACUGAGGCACGAAAGCGUGGGGAGCAAACAGG